AAGACCGUGAGGUGGAGCAAAACUCAAAAACUUGUCUCAGUUCGGAUUGUAGGCUGAAACUCGCCUACAUGAAGCUGGAGUUGCUAGUAAUCGCGAAUCAGCAUGUCGCGGUGAAUACGUUCCCGGGCCUUGUACACACCGCCCGUCACACCAUGAGAGUUGGCAAUACCCAACGUACGUGAUCUAACCCGCAAGGGAGGAAGCGUCCUAAGGUAGGGUCAGCGAUUGGGGUGAAGUCGUAACAAGGUAUC
Molecule: ribosomal RNA, 251 nt
Filed under: uncultured bacterium
Lineage: Bacteria
Description: partial 16S ribosomal RNA
Rfam family: Bacterial small subunit ribosomal RNA
Source: RNAcentral